Molecule: transfer RNA, 70 nt
Filed under: Cercyon borealis
Lineage: Eukaryota; Metazoa; Arthropoda; Insecta; Coleoptera; Hydrophilidae
Description: tRNA-Lys
Source: RNAcentral
CAUUAGAUGGCUGAAAGCAAGUCCUGGUCUCUUAAACCAUUUAAUAGUAAAUUAGUGCCUACUUCUAAUG